Molecule: ribosomal RNA, 411 nt
Filed under: Hordeum euclaston
Lineage: Eukaryota; Viridiplantae; Streptophyta; Magnoliopsida; Poales; Poaceae
Source: RNAcentral
UUUUUAGUAUAUUUUUGCUCCACGCAAAAAAGAUGCGUACGUGCGCGGAAUAUAUUAAGCACGGUUCCUUAUUUCCGACUUCUCGUGCUGAUCAGUUUGAUAUAUUAUACGUUUUUUUUCGACAUCGUAUGCAAAAGUUAUAGCCGUUUUACUUUUUCAUAACACUUUUUUGCGAAAUCAUGUCAAAAUUUAUGUUUUUGAAUUUUCCUAACUAAUAGAUGUAGUAACAUAAAUACAUCUCGAAGGAUUUUAAUUUUUGAAGUUUUUAUCAUUUUCUUUUCUUUUUUUCAAAACUAAAAUGGCGAUAGGGGGGGGCAGCAUAAUGGACGAAGGCGGGGGUAACAUGUGGGAUGCGAUCAUACCAGCACUAAAGCAUCGGAUCCCUCCUGGAAGUCCUCGUGUUGCAUAAUC